UACGUAGGGGGCUAGCGUUGUCCGGAUUUAUUGGGCGUAAAGCGCGUGUAGGCGGUCCGGUAAGUCCGCUGUGAAAGUCGGGGGCUCAACCCUCGAAUGCCGGUGGAUACUGUCGGGCUAGAGUGCGGAAGAGGCGAGUGGAAUUCCUGGUGUAGCGGUGAAAUGCGCAGAUAUCAGGAGGAACACCAAUUGCGAAGGCAGCUCGCUGGGACGUCACUGACGCUGAGACGCGAAAGCGUGGGGAGCAAACAGG
This 253-nucleotide ribosomal RNA is filed under the name uncultured bacterium. Its description in RNAcentral is "partial 16S ribosomal RNA". It matches the Rfam family "Bacterial small subunit ribosomal RNA", at positions 524 to 776 of the family's 1533-position model. The record is from RNAcentral.